UCUGUCCCUCCGACAGCCGCCGCGCUGGGCGGCUCGGGCGGGCGUGAAGUUUGCAAAAAUAGACCGCAUUAGCACAUUGGAUGCCCACAAAGCGUGAGAUGAGCCCAACUCAGUUCCGUCUGUCGGAACUCUGAGGUUUCGCUGUGGAACAUUUCGUUUUAUUCCUGCUUGAGACGAGACUGCUUGUACCUUAAUUAUAUGUGAACACUAUUGUCAAGCUUUGCAUUCUGUCGUGAUUAGUAAUCGUUUUCCGAUUAAAAACGGUGAAUGUACUGGUUUUCAAAUAAAAUAUGAUCAAUCCUUC
Molecule: long non-coding RNA, 304 nt
Organism: Lepisosteus oculatus (spotted gar)
Lineage: Eukaryota; Metazoa; Chordata; Actinopteri; Semionotiformes; Lepisosteidae
Source: RefSeq, a predicted model, not a curated record